UGGCUCAGUGGUUAAGAGCAUUGGCUGCUCUUCCAGAGGACCUGGGUUCAAUUCCCAG
Transfer RNA from Neotoma lepida (desert woodrat), 58 nucleotides. It matches the Rfam family "tRNA", at positions 8 to 63 of the family's 71-position model. Rfam says of the family: Transfer RNA (tRNA) molecules are approximately 80 nucleotides in length. Their secondary structure includes four short double-helical elements and three loops (D, anti-codon, and T loops). Further hydrogen bonds mediate the characteristic L-shaped molecular structure. tRNAs have two regions of fundamental functional importance: the anti-codon, which is responsible for specific mRNA codon recognition, and the 3' end, to which the tRNAs corresponding amino acid is attached (by aminoacyl-tRNA synthetases). tRNAs cope with the degeneracy of the genetic code in two manners: having more than one tRNA (with a specific anti-codon) for a particular amino acid; and 'wobble' base-pairing, i.e. permitting non-standard base-pairing at the 3rd anti-codon position. Lineage: Eukaryota; Metazoa; Chordata; Mammalia; Rodentia; Cricetidae. The record is from Rfam.